CAAUAGCGUAUAUUAAAGUUGUUGCAGUUAAAAAGCUCGUAGUUGGAUUUCUGGUGAGAUGGAUUAUGUCUAGGUCGAAAGAUCUUGUUCAUGGUUCGUUUUGCCCUUCUUGUCAGGAACCCGCUGAGAUUCGCGUCUUGUCGGUGGAAUGGCAUCGUUUACUGUGAAAAAAUUAGAGUGUUCAAAGCAGGCAUCGCCGUUGAAUACAUUAGCAUGGAAUAAUAAGAUAAGACUUUGGUGGUCUAUUUUGUUGGUUUGCACGCCAAAGUAAUGAUUAAUAGGGAUAGUUGGGGGUAGUCGUAUUCUAUUGCUAGAGGUGAAAUUCUUAAAUUUAUGGAAGACGAACUACUGCGAAAGCAUUUACCAAGGAUGUUUUCAUUAA
Molecule: ribosomal RNA, 382 nt
Filed under: uncultured eukaryote
Lineage: Eukaryota
Description: partial 18S ribosomal RNA
Rfam family: Eukaryotic small subunit ribosomal RNA
Source: RNAcentral